Molecule: ribosomal RNA, 639 nt
Filed under: uncultured fungus
Lineage: Eukaryota; Fungi
Description: eukaryotic LSU rRNA
Rfam family: 5.8S ribosomal RNA (bases 256-409)
Source: RNAcentral
GGAAGUAAAAGUCGUAACAAGGUCUCCGUUGGUGAACCAGCGGAGGGAUCAUUACCGAGUUUACAACUCCCAAACCCAAUGUGAACGUUACCAAACUGUUGCCUCGGCGGGAUCUCUGCCCCGGGUGCGUCGCAGCCCCGGACCAAGGCGCCCGCCGGAGGACCAACCAAAACUCUUAUUGUAUACCCCCUCGCGGGUUUUUUUACUAUCUGAGCCAUCUCGGCGCCCCUCGUGGGCGUUUCGAAAAUGAAUCAAAACUUUCAACAACGGAUCUCUUGGUUCUGGCAUCGAUGAAGAACGCAGCGAAAUGCGAUAAGUAAUGUGAAUUGCAGAAUUCAGUGAAUCAUCGAAUCUUUGAACGCACAUUGCGCCCGCCAGUAUUCUGGCGGGCAUGCCUGUCCGAGCGUCAUUUCAACCCUCGAACCCCUCCGGGGGGUCGGCGUUGGGGAUCGGCCCUUUACGGGGCCGGCCCCGAAAUACAGUGGCGGUCUCGCCGCAGCCUCUCCUGCGCAGUAGUUUGCACACUCGCAUCGGGAGCGCGGCGCGUCCACAGCCGUUAAACACCCCAAACUUCUGAAAUGUUGACCUCGGAUCAGGUAGGAAUACCCGCUGAACUUAAGCAUAUCAAUAAGCGGAGGA